Molecule: non-coding RNA, 75 nt
Organism: Pelobates cultripes (western spadefoot toad)
Lineage: Eukaryota; Metazoa; Chordata; Amphibia; Anura; Pelobatidae
Source: the annotation of a GenBank genome assembly
CCUAUCAACUUUCGAUGACAAUUUCUGCGCCUACCAUGGUGACCACGGGUAACGGGGAAUCAGGGUUCGAUUCCA